AUGAACGCUGGCGGCGUGCCUAAUACAUGCAAGUCGAGCGAACAGACGAGGAGCUUGCUCCUCUGACGUUAGCGGCGGACGGGUGAGUAACACGUGGAUAACCUACCUAUAAGACUGGGAUAACUUCGGGAAACCGGAGCUAAUACCGGAUAAUAUAUUGAACCGCACGGUUCAAUAGUGAAAGACGGUUUUGCUGUCACUUAUAGAUGGAUCCGCGCCGCAUUAGCUAGUUGGUAAGGUAACGGCUUACCAAGGCAACGAUGCGUAGCCGACCUGAGAGGGUGAUCGGCCACACUGGAACUGAGACACGGUCCAGACUCCUACGGGAGGCAGCAGUAGGGAAUCUUCCGCAAUGGGCGAAAGCCUGACGGAGCAACGCCGCGUGAGUGAUGAAGGUCUUCGGAUCGUAAAACUCUGUUAUUAGGGAAGAACAAAUGUGUAAGUAACUAUGCACGUCUUGACGGUACCUAAUCAGAAAGCCACGGCUAACUACGUG
Molecule: ribosomal RNA, 496 nt
Filed under: uncultured bacterium
Lineage: Bacteria
Description: partial 16S ribosomal RNA
Rfam family: Bacterial small subunit ribosomal RNA
Source: RNAcentral